This 262-nucleotide ribosomal RNA is filed under the name uncultured archaeon. RNAcentral's name for it is "partial 16S ribosomal RNA". It matches the Rfam family "Archaeal small subunit ribosomal RNA", at positions 748 to 1009 of the family's 1478-position model. The record is from RNAcentral.
CAGCCGUAAACAAUGUGCGUUAGGUGUGUCGGUAACCACGCGUUACUGAUGCGCCGAAGAGAAAUCGUGAAACGCACCACCCGGGAAGUACGGUCGCAAGGCUGAAACUUAAAGGAAUUGGCGGGGGAGCACCACAACAGGUGGAGCCUGCGGUUUAAUUUGGAUUCAACGCCGGACAUCUCACCGGAUAAGACAGCUGAAUGAUUGUCAAUCUGAAGGUUUUACAUGACUAGCUGAGAGGAGGUGCAUGGCGUAGACGUCU